GAUGAACGCUGGCGGCGUGCCUAAUACAUGCAAGUCGAGCGAACAGACGAGGAGCUUGCUCCUCUGACGUUAGCGGCGGACGGGUGAGUAACACGUGGAUAACCUACCUAUAAGACUGGGAUAACUUCGGGAAACCGGAUCUAAUACCGGAUAAUAUAUUGAACCGCAUGGUUCGAUAGUGAAAGACGGUUUUGCUGUCACUUAUAGAUGGAUCCGCGCCGCAUUAGCUAGUUGGUAAGGUAACGGCUUACCAAGGCAACGAUGCGUAGCCGACCUGAGAGGGUGAUCGGCCACACUGGAACUGAGACACGGUCCAGACUCCUACGGGAGGCAGCAGUAGGGAAUCUUCCGCAAUGGGCGAAAGCCUGACGGAGCAACGCCGCGUGAGUGAUGAAGGUCUUCGGAUCGUAAAACUCUGUUAUUAGGGAAGAACAAAUGUGUAAGUAACUAUGCACGUCUUGACGGUACCUAAUCAGAAAGCCACGGCUAACUACGUG
Molecule: ribosomal RNA, 497 nt
Filed under: uncultured bacterium
Lineage: Bacteria
Description: partial 16S ribosomal RNA
Rfam family: Bacterial small subunit ribosomal RNA
Source: RNAcentral